UUCCAGACAACUCUACUACUUGAUUUUUCUAUCACUCAAAUUUUUUUGUUACAUCAAAACAGUCUACAUUUCGUGUCGCAUAUAAUAGAAACUUCUUCCGACAGUUAACCACAUCGGAGCUAAAGUGAACUGGUCAUAUCGGGAAACACUGUGCAAAACUUACAUUCGACGGACGGAACGGACUGACUCUGGAAAUCACAUCACAAUAAGUCAUGCCACGGGGAAAACGCCGAGCUGCAGAUACUAUUAGCGACAACAUGGAUCAUGGUCAACCGAAGAGGGCCCGAACCAGCUACACCAGCAUACCCACACAACAGAGCAGCAGGUGAGUGGAGGAAAAUAGG
This 344-nucleotide small RNA is filed under the name Drosophila yakuba. Its description in RNAcentral is "GE28750". Lineage: Eukaryota; Metazoa; Arthropoda; Insecta; Diptera; Drosophilidae. The record is from RNAcentral.